CGGCAUGCCGUGGACACUUUGGGAAUCUUGCUGAGAAAUGGCGCCACCAGUGGUUUGUGGAUCCCGGGGUUCUGCAACUGGAUCAAAGAGGUGUCCUCCAUCUCUCUGCUGUCGCUCAUUUUCCUAUAUGAAGGACAUCUUAACUUCCAGAGCUGUGCCUCCUCGUCCAUCCGUGUAUUCCUCUAAUCUCAACCCAAAAGUUUGAAAGUGAAGCAGCACAAAGCUGACCUUUAAAGACUCUUCCUGAGCAUACCAAACCUGUGUCCCUGAAUCCAUGGAAGCCAAGGCCAAGGCUGGGGCUUCAGCGCCCAAGGCAGCAUCCAAAGCAGAAAAGAAAGAGCCAGCAGCACCACCCAAGUCUGAUCCUGCCCCUGCAGCCCCCGAGCCCGAGAAACCUACUCCGUCCCAGGAUGGAGCAGCAGAAGCUGAGUCAGCAGCAGGUGACAAAGCCUCUGGUACAGACUCUCUGGAACACCUGAAGCCCUUUCUUAUUGGUGGAGCUGUUAUCGCUGCAGGAGCCAUUUUGCUGGGAGCGCUGUUGCUAGCAAGGAGAAAUUGAAUCAAAAUGAGAAUAUUGUUGACUGGUUCACAGACUUUUCUGGUUUGAUGGGCGGUGGGGAGACACAGCAGUCUGUGCUUUUUUUUAUAUUUGUUUGUCUUGUUUAGGUUUUUUUUCUUGGCCUGUUUCCACGUGUACUGCAUCAACAAAUAUAACCUUAAAACAAGGCUUUAUAUGGAGCAUAACUAUACUUGGUAUAUGCAUGAAGUUGCUACAAUAUUGCAUAUAAAAUGUAAUUAGAACAUUUUUUUAAAAAAGAAAAAAACUUGCACUGCAUUACAUAGCCACCUAAACUCUCUAAAUCCAGUUUAAUGUCAUACUUUUUCCAGUUUGUACAAAUAUUGAUACAUAAUUUCAAUAUUUAUACAUUCUUGGAGGUGAUUUUGCUUAAAGGUUGUGAAAAAAAAUGUAUUCUGUAUCAAUAAUGUCCUUUGACUGUCUGAGUUCUAGGCUUUUAUUUUAUUUUAGUUUAUUUUAGAGUAAAGAAGUUGGUGAAAGUAGAGGAAAGCUUUUUGCACUGUGAAUAUUCUGCAUGUUUUGGCCAAAGGAACACCUUGCAAGGUAGCUAGGGAUUCAUAAUGACUGUGAUUAGACAUGCAUCUUUGAGCCUCUUUGGGCUCAGAAACAGAAGCUGACUGCAUAGAUUUUGAACAAUUUUGGGUUGAAAACAAGCAAAGUGAAUUUAACAGCAGUAUGUGCAAAGAGGUAAAAAAAACGUAAUAAUGAGAUCAAGACCUAAUUCAGUUUUUCAUCCGAAAGGAAACCCAUAUAUUUUGGCUGACUGUUAUCAUUUGUGCACUUCCUGGGCUGAGAUUUCUUUCCUCUAACAACCUAGAAUCACUAAACAUUUUUAGAAUCAGAACAUACAAGCAUGACAUGGCAAAGGAAAUAAAAUGCAAAAGACAUUUGGACUUAAAUAUAUUUUAAUGUAGAUUAAGGGGGAUAUAUUUUUCCUGUAAAAUAAUAUUAAAAAUAGAUAACCUUUCACAAACCCAAACUGUUCUGAUGUUUAAAUCUGUUUACAUCUAAUAUUUGACACUACAGUAUAUGUGGGUUACAUUAGGCUGAAAAGCUGCUGUCAAAACUUCAGAGUUGUUAAUGUCUUUCCUCUGCUCUUCUCAUGUUUUCAAAUGUACAAACUAUAUAAAUGACUUAAAAGCAUCUUACAUUUACAGGAGCAUGAAAGUAUGUGUAUAUUUACUGUCAUAAUUCACUUAAAUGAGGAGAAAAAACACACACAUUGUUUUGCUGCACAAACUCAUCUGUACAGCUGUUCACAGUGAUUUCUGCUUUGCAUUGUAUAUCUCAUCAGGUUGACUCUGACUAUAAAGUAGAAAGUUAGUUCCUGCACACAAACACACACAUUUAGUCUCUAGUUUAAAAAUAGUUUAAAAAUAUAACAGUUUAGACCAAAUCGUUAUAUAUAAACAUUCAACAUUCACCACAGCUUCCCUACUAUGAUCAAAAGAUAGUAUGCCAAAAAAAUAAAUCUCAGUACAUUGUACUGUACAGUGUAUUUAAAAAAAAGUAGAAGAAGGAAAUUCCUAUUUUCAUAAUUUCAAACAGCGUAUAAAUGCAAUAAUUCAAGUAGGACUAUUCAUUUAGCACAUGUGCUGUAGCAGAUUAAAUUACAUAGAUGAUGUAAUAAUGUAUGAUGUUACUGAUGGCUAUGAUAGUGAUGAUAUUUAUCAUGGUGAGUGUAAUGAUGGAUAUAUAUUUUUUAUAUUUUUUAACAUAUCUUCCUAAUGCACCCUCCCCUCUGAUCUCAAACAUCUAAGUGUAAAGAAAAGAGUUUGAAAACCAACUUUAUUAAAGACAGUGAACCAUGAA
Molecule: long non-coding RNA, 2389 nt
Organism: Girardinichthys multiradiatus
Lineage: Eukaryota; Metazoa; Chordata; Actinopteri; Cyprinodontiformes; Goodeidae
Exons: 3
Source: RefSeq, a predicted model, not a curated record